UGGGAGAAGCCUGAUACAGCCAUGCCGCGUGAAUGAUGAAGGCCUUAGGGUUGUAAAAUUCUAUCUCUAGGGAAGAAAAUGACUGUACCUGGAAAAGAAGCCCCGGCUAACUUCUUGCCAGCAGCCGCGGUUAUGCGCCCAGCCCCGGUAAUAUACUUAUAUCCUU
RNAcentral lists this ribosomal RNA (166 nucleotides) under uncultured Algimonas sp. RNAcentral's name for it is "partial 16S ribosomal RNA". The stretch from base 1 to 143 matches the Rfam family "Bacterial small subunit ribosomal RNA", at positions 372 to 539 of the family's 1533-position model. Lineage: Bacteria; Pseudomonadati; Pseudomonadota; Alphaproteobacteria; Maricaulales; Robiginitomaculaceae. The record is from RNAcentral.